AUUGAACGCUGGCGGCAUGCUUUACACAUGCGAGUCGAACGGCAGCGCGGGCUUCGGCCUGGCGGCGAGUGGCGAACGGGUGAGUAAUACAUCGGAACGUGCCCAGUAGUGGGGGAUAGCUCGGCGAAAGCCGGAUUAAUACCGCAUACGACCUGAGGGUGAAAGCGGGGGAUCUUCGGACCUCGCGCUAUUGGAGCGGCCGACGGCAGAUUAGCUAGUUGGUGGGGUAAAGGCCUACCAAGGCGACGAUCUGUAGCUGGUCUGAGAGGACGACCAGCCACACUGGGACUGAGACACGGCCCAGACUCCUACGGGAGGCAGCAGUGGGGAAUUUUGGACAAUGGGCGAAAGCCUGAUCCAGCAAUGCCGCGUGUGUGAUGAAGGCCUUCGGGUUGUAAAGCACUUUUGGCGGGAACGAAAAGGACUGUGCCAAUACCACGGUUCGAUGACGGUACCCGCAGAAUAAGCACCGGCUAACUACGUG
RNAcentral lists this ribosomal RNA (484 nucleotides) under uncultured bacterium. RNAcentral's name for it is "partial 16S ribosomal RNA". It matches the Rfam family "Bacterial small subunit ribosomal RNA", at positions 29 to 507 of the family's 1533-position model. The record is from RNAcentral.